RNAcentral lists this ribosomal RNA (222 nucleotides) under Cladosporium cladosporioides. Its description in RNAcentral is "partial 28S ribosomal RNA". It matches the Rfam family "Eukaryotic large subunit ribosomal RNA", at positions 1 to 220 of the family's 3401-position model. The record is from RNAcentral. Lineage: Eukaryota; Fungi; Ascomycota; Dothideomycetes; Cladosporiales; Cladosporiaceae. RNAcentral also lists the same sequence under 2 other names.
GUUGACCUCGGAUCAGGUAGGGAUACCCGCUGAACUUAAGCAUAUCAAUAAGCGGAGGAAAAGAAACCAACAGGGAUUGCUCUAGUAACGGCGAGUGAAGCAGCAAUAGCUCAAAUUUGAAAUCUGGCGUCUUCGACGUCCGAGUUGUAAUUUGUAGAGGAUGCUUCUGAGUAACCACCGACCUAAGUUCCUUGGAACAGGACGUCAUAGAGGGUGAGAAUC